GGGGAUUGAAAAGACAAGGCAGUCCAGGGAGGUGCUGCCCAUCCAAGGUUGAGGGGCCUGGGGGCUCCGGGUCGUAAAGGAGCUGGGGUGAAGGCUGACUGCACAGGCUCCUUAUACAUCCAUUCCUGAGGGCACGGAGGUUAACACUCAUGGGAGAGGCUGACUUGUGGGUCACACGAAAAAGGGAGAUAAUCACACCAUUAAGUAAAUGUUGAAUCCCCUUCUCCACUUCCUGUUCCUGCCAGAGAGGGCCCAGGGGUCUUCCACUGCUCGCACUGCCCACCUGCUUCCAUAUCGGCCCCCAACACCCCCACCCUCCCUCCCCCUGCGCUAACUUAGGGCUGACCUUCUCUAGAGAGCCACUCCACAGAAGCAUUUGUCCUACUAGCCUGCCCUCUUUUCUCUCCAUCAGCAGCAGAGCUUGGACUUUUCAAAUCACCUUUAGGAUAGAAAGCCAAUGAGACAUGUAUCUAAAGGCCCCUAAUGACCCAUACUUGCGACUUGGCUUUGAUGCGCUUGAGAGGCUCUCUGUUGGCCUUUUCUGUUGGCAGAGACAACUGCUAGAUUAAGAUGGAUGUAACCUUGGACGUGGCAAAACUCAGACCUUAGCUACUGGAGGAGAACAAGGCAGCCAAUUUUUUUUUUUUUUAAACCGGGGAGGCAGGAAUGAGAAGGUGGGAGAACUUGGGGAGGAGGCGGGUCAAGAACAGAGCAUGCAGAGGCACCCCUCAGCCACCUGUCAGGACCGCGAAGGCACGUGCCUGCCCUUCAGGCUUCACCCGACACGUAGGGGUUUGUGUACGCAGGUCACUCCCAGCAAGCGAGGACCCUAUGAACCGUGUGGUCUUCUGGACGCAAAAUGCUUACUUUCCAUUGUGUAAUUGUCCUUGUUUUCCUCUGGCUCACAGACUUACCAGAGUGAAGUCCCAAACUGACUUUUCCUCCAGGUCUUGAUAAAUUGUUGCAGAAAAGAAGUGCUGGCAGAGAUUUUCUACACCCAUGUAUCUGAGUCUAGUUAUUUUCUCUCAAGGCCUAUUCUAUCCUUCAGCCCAGCUCCCUCUGGCUUCUAGUUCUCCUCAGCCAAGAUUCAUUGUACUGCUAUUAAAUGUUACACUAUGUAACAAUGCCAAGUCCCACCUCUCUCCUAACCCCACUUAAGCUUUUUUUUCCCAAUGGACUUCUGCCUUUUUUCCCAAUGGACUUCUGCCUUUUUGUAUCUUCCACAGGAUCCAAC
Molecule: long non-coding RNA, 1234 nt
Organism: Bos taurus (domestic cattle)
Lineage: Eukaryota; Metazoa; Chordata; Mammalia; Artiodactyla; Bovidae
Source: Ensembl